Molecule: ribosomal RNA, 254 nt
Filed under: uncultured bacterium
Lineage: Bacteria
Description: partial 16S ribosomal RNA
Rfam family: Bacterial small subunit ribosomal RNA
Source: RNAcentral
UACGUAGGGGGCAAGUGUUGUUCGGAUUCAUUGGGCGUAAAGGGUGCGUAGGUGGCGCUGUAAGUCGGGUGUGAAAUUUCGGAGCUCAACUCCGAAACUGCAUUCGAUACUGCGUGCUUGAGGACUGGAGAGGAGACUGGGAAUUCCUGGUGGUAGCGGUGGAAUGCGCAGAUAUCAGGAGGAACACCAAUAGCGAAGGCAGCUCGCUGGGACGGUACUGACGCUGAGGCGCGAAAGCGUGGGGAGCGAACAGG